CACACAUGACGCCUCUCUUUAUGUUCUGUACUUGGUGUGUUAGUUUCCUGUGCCUGCCCUAACAAAGCACCACAAACCAGGUGUCUGCCUGAGAUAGGAAUCUAGGCCAAAACAUUUCAGAUACUUGUUGUCAGAGGGCAGUAUGGAUGGGGGAAUAGGAUGAUGUGUUCCAGAACUUGGCCUGAGAAGCAAUGCUGUGAGUCUACAGGGGAGUCACAGAGACUCAUUCAUCAAAUUACUGCUCUGUGCAGAUGUGUCAUUUUAUGUUCUAGGUCUUUGAGGAAUCACCACACUGUCUUCCACAAUGGUUGAACUAAUUUACUUUCCCACCAAUGGUGUAAAAAGGGGAAAAAGAAAUCCUUCCAUUCUCUAAACUAGCUUGAGUUGAUUUAUAUCACAGCAUCUCCAAGAGCAUAGAUCUUCUGCUACACGACAGGGCCAGGGCCAGGACCACUUUCAGCUCCAGGCAAUUGCACUGAGGACUCAGUGACACAACCGUGUGAAGUGCCUGCUUCCCCUUCGCCUUCUGCCAUGAUUGGAAGCUUCCUGAGGCCUCUACAGAAGCAGAAGCCGCUAUGCUUCCUGUACAGCUUGCAGAACUAUGAGCCAAUUAAACCUCUUUUCUUUGUUAA
Long non-coding RNA from Pan troglodytes (chimpanzee), 632 nucleotides. RefSeq lists it as uncharacterized. The transcript is spliced from 5 exons. The record is from RefSeq and is a predicted model, not a curated record. NCBI's taxonomy places the organism in Eukaryota, Metazoa, Chordata, Mammalia, Primates, Hominidae.